This 6980-nucleotide ribosomal RNA is filed under the name Triticum aestivum (bread wheat). Its description in RNAcentral is "partial small subunit ribosomal RNA". The record is from RNAcentral. Lineage: Eukaryota; Viridiplantae; Streptophyta; Magnoliopsida; Poales; Poaceae.
GUAAAUCUAUCGUAACCGAGCGGCGUCUCUGCAGCGGCCGAGCGGUGGGACUCGAUGUCUCCACCGCUCUCGUCGCUUCCCCGGCUCGCGACAGCAUACAGCACGCCGCCGGUGUGGCGUCCAUGGGUGAGUGCCGUUGAUGCGCGUGCGUGCGUGGCCGGUGGCAGCGCGGCGCUCUAAGCGGACCGACACGUGACGGCGUUGGUGUGCACUCAAGAAGGUUGCGCGUGGCGGGUGUCAGCUGGACGCUCGGUGUGUACGUGGCGGCACUUCACGACGAACUAGGGGAGGUACCUGAGCACGAGCGGUAGCGUCAGGCAGCGGGACCGGUGCUUCUCCCGGUUCUAGGUACCUCGACGAGCACCCCACUCGUAUAGCAGGAGCACGAGGAGUUAAGACGACCCCAUAGGAAACCCGACCCACCGUCUCUACCGCUUAAGGAGGAGCCCACAGAGUCCCACCAUGUGGAGGAUAUAAAACUCUUUAUUUUGAAUACCAAUAUACUAUAGUAGAUUCCACUUUGCAACUUUCCCGAGAACCUAACAUACGGAGCGAGUCCAACCACGCCAGAAUAUAAAGUUCUUUAUUUUAGAACACCAAUAUACGAUAGUCAAUUACACUUGGGCACUUUCCGGCGAACUUAACAUACGGAGCGAGUCCAUUACUUAGGAAACACGUCUCUCGAGAAGAACUACGGGGGUAUUCAUUACUUAAACGAUGUGUCGUUUUUUUUUCAUCGAUAAACAAAAUACCCUGGGACGAACGAAUAACAUAAUUUUACUGCUAUACCGAAACAAAUACACCUUAUAGUAGGUCCAUAAAUUUCCAGCAGGUUCAUGUGUAAAUCUUAGACAAUCCCCCCCCCCCACACGCGUGAAGAGAUCAUACCGGUCCAUAAUCAGCUGUUUACUUAUAUGUAGUUUUCCGUGGUGAAAUGAAUGUCAAGAAGCUCGAAACAUCCGGAGUUGUCUUCAGGGAACCGGUUCGAAGUAACAUUACGGAUUGAUUGAUGAGGGAGGCAGGUUUUUAUGAACAGUAGUUUUACCUAUUUUUCUCUACAUAGAUCUUGAUUUUAUGUAGAUCUAUGUAGGGGAAAAGAGGUAAAACUACUGUUCAUAAAGGCCUGCCUCCCUCAUAAAUUGUUUGUUGAAACAGUUGAUUAUUUUCGUUGUGACGUCCAUUUAUUUAAGUAAAAGUGUACAAUACCAUUCGACCGAAGAAGGUCGAGGGGUUUUUUGACUCAUGAUUAUAUGUCUCUUCCAAAUAUUAAUAAUUCCGAUGAAGUGUUUAAUAAAACCCUUACCUGAUUUGUAUAGUCCUAUAUGUGGUAGUAGAUGAUUAUGAGAUGAUUUACUUGAUAGUUAAGUGAAGAGAUCAUAAAUUUAAUAUGUACAGUACCUUACUGAUUGUCAUGAACAAGAAGAGAGUUUCUACAGUUGUUUUAUGUCGGUCAUCUCUUCAAUCUUCCUAAAACUCGAGAUUUCAGGUCCAUAGUUAGGUGAACUGACGUGGCUAGAGACCGGUAAAUUAAGUACUUAGUUGCCUAAAUAGAUAUUCUCUCAUUAACAGAUAUUCUAUCUUGAACGAACGUACGUAAAGUAUCUAUUAUUUAGACAUUUCUCUUCUAUCCUCCAUUGUAUGUAUAGACUUAUAAAUGUGAAGUAUAUGUCUGGGUUAUGUAGAAGUUAAGUCUCCAUCCUAUCUUCUGACAAACCAGUCUAGAGGUAUCGAUGUUUUUAGAAGUUAUUAGACACUUGAGGCAGUCUAUCAUUAUAAUUUUUAAGGAAUAAAAUAACUAUAUAAGUGUAGAUCUAUUUCCUCCAUGUACAGGUGUCCCUUCCUUUUCGUCGGUAAUUAACACGAUUUUACCGGAGUCAGGUUUCUGUGAGAGAUUUCAUUUUAAAUCUCGUGUUUGACUACUUCAGAGAGACUUCAUUUAAGAUUUUAUGUAUUUUACCGUGUGUGAGAGAUUUCAUUUUAAAUCUCGUGUUUGACUACUUCAGAGAGACUUCAUUUAAGAUUUUAUGUAUUUUACCGUGCCCUUCACACCUCGGGAAGGUAGAAUAAAUCUACUAGAGACCUUCUCAUCACAAAACAGGAGAACACCUAUAAAUUUAAUGUUAAUGGGAUUUUUCACUUCAAUUGAGCACUUAUACACGAAAUUCGUCUAGGUUGAAGUAAUCAAAACUUUUAUUUUGUUAAGAGAAGUUACUAUAUUUAAAUAUGAAGUAUAAACAAGUCUGUAACAGUUAAGUUAAAAAACCAUGCGCUAUGUCGAUUUUUUUCAACAUCAACUGUUUACUUACGGGUAGCCUACCAUGGUGAAACUAUGUCACGUAGGUCGGAACAUCCGGAUUUUUUUACGGGGAAGCGGUUCGAAGUGACACUACGGAUUGAUUGAUGAGGGAGGCAAGGUAUAAACAAUUAACUAUUUGACUAAAGAAGGUCGACGGGUUUUUUGUCUCAUGGUUAUGUGUACUUCCGAUAAAUCAACAAUUCCGUUGAAAUGUUUAGUAAAUCCCUUACCUGAUUUGUGUAUAUGUGGUCAACUUACGCUUCUUUUCUUUAGUAAAUAGAUGAUUAUGAGGUGAUUUACUUGAGGUUGUUAAGUGUAGAGAUCAUAACAUAAUAUGUACAGUUUCUUACUGUUUGUCAUGAAUAAGGAGGGAGCUUCAACAGUUCCUUUAUGUUGGUCAUCUCUUGGAUCUUCCUAUCACUCGAGAUUUGAGGUGUAUAGAUUCCCCCAUUAACGUCUAUUCUAUCCUGAACGAACCUACGUAAAGUAUCUAUUAUUUAGACAUUUCUCACCAAUCCUCCAUUAGGGAAACAUUUGAUUAUAUUCUGGUAAAUCUAGUGUUGAAAUCACUAGAUUUCAUCAUCAGAUUUACCAGGAUAUAAUCAAAUGUUUUCCCCAUUGUAUGUAUAGACUUGUAAAUGUGAAGAAUAGAAGUUAAGUCUCUAUUCUGGCUUAUCAGAGACCAGUCUAAAGGUAUCGGCGUUUUUCGAAGUUAUUAGACACUUGAUACAUUCUGUCAUUAUAAUCUUUGGGGAAUAAGAUAACUACAUAAGUGUAGUUUUCUUUCCUCUAUGUACAGUUGUCCCCUUUUUUUGGUUGGUAGUCAACACGAUUACAAUGGUGAGGUCUCACCGGAAUCAGGUUUCUGUGGUGGACCUAAUUUAAAAUCUUGUGUUAUUCAAAGCCAAUUGACCACUUGCGAGAGACUUCACGUUAAAUUUUGUAUAUUUUACCGUGCCCUUCACACCUCGGGUAGGUCGACUGACUCUAGUAGAGCUCUUCUCACCACAAAAACGGGAGAAUACCUCUAAACUUUCUCGUUAAUGGGGUUUUUUCACAUCAAUUGACUACUUAUGCACAACAUUCGUCCGGGUUCAAGUAAUCAAAACUUUUAGUUUUUUAAGGGAAAGUAUUAUAUUAAAAUAUGAAGUAUAAACAAGUCUGUAACGUUUAAAUAAAAAAACCAUACUUCAUCUUGAUUUUUCUUGACAACUAUGUAGUAUAUACAUACGUACUAUAAUAUUUCGUAGCUAUCUAAAAAAAAUAAAUAACUUUACGAGUGAGAACACUUAAAUCAUCGUCAAAUCAUGCUUCAGGACCUAGCGAUCGACUACCACUACUUUGUGUGCGAUAAUGAUAACUCGACGGGUCUGUCUUCGUCAGGGCGAAGUCUAUGUCAGUGUGAUACAUACCCUGUGAAGUAUCUCUCUCUCUCUCUCUCUCUCUCUCUCUCUCUCUCUCUGGGUGGUCCAGUGGUGGUACGUCGUCGUGACUUGAUGAGGACACUUUCAUCCACUACGUCGUCGUACGUCCGGCCCUUUGCCUUCUGCCGUACCUCCUUCGUGUGCUUCUUCUGCUGGGUGCGCGUGCUGUCGGUCUGGCUGUUCUGCCUGCUGCUACUCGUUUGCGUCGUGAUAGGCCGCUUAGUCAUCUUGGUCGUGGUGCGGGACUCGGUGGCGCUGCUGGUUGGUUUUCUCGUGCCCUCGGUGCUCCUGCGGGUCCUGCCGCGUUUGGUAGUGCUGACGUACUUCCUCGUUGGUAGCUCGUUAUCCUCUCUUUACUCUCGUGUGCGUGCUGGUCUUCUCUUUUCGGUCGGGUAUAUAUCGUGGAGUGGUACGAUCUGUUGAGAUCUUGGGUGCUCAUGUAGUUAUGGCUGCCUUUCGCUACGUGUGCUACAUCUUUAUGGUCUGUUUCGCCGUCCCUAUGCAGUCAAACAUGCCACUUUUGCUGCCUUGCUUGCGGCGUGCUUUAUAGGCCUGCCGCGUUGGCGUGGCGGAGCUGGCUAAUCGAAACGGAUAGUGCAGUGGCGGUAGUGACGUACCUAGUCGCGUGUUUAGAACAGCGAAAUGAGGACCUUCGUUUGCGUUGAGAGCGUCCGUCAAGGCUAACCACCUGGCGCAGCAAGCUGGCUAGGGCUACGUACCGUGGCGGGCUGUACGUAGACCUUGGUUCACGGUCAGUUGACACGUCGGAUCUAAGUAGUGUAUCGAUGCCGGUUGUGGAAAACAGCGGACUGUCGACGUUAGUUCACGUUAGUUUACCGGGUAAGGUUAACCAGGCGAACGAUGGUGCGCCGGAGUGGGUUAAUCAGACGUACGUACGUUGUUGAGCUAAUUAGUCGAUUAGGUAGAGAAGAAAAACGGAACUUAAAAGAUGCCAAAUAUAAGUACUCAUAAAAUAUCAGCAAACUAACUAGAUCACAGUGCGCAGGGUAAUUGUCGAGAGAGAACAAUAAUGGACACUGGUGAGACUAUAAUUGAUUAUUGAACUGGUAAUACCUGUUUGGAUUGUCACCAAUACGAAACGUUUGCACUACUUGAUAGACAAAGUUUGUAUACGAUCUUACCUGUCACUGUGUGCGAUUUUUUUGUUGGUGCAGCCGUCUUGGCUUUCGCUAUCGUGUACUCUUUCUUUGGUGUAAGUUUGUUGGUUUUCCCUGUCGUGUAUGCGUGUGUGUUUGUGUCUGCUUGUCUAACUCGGUUUGUGUUGGUUUUUUGCGAUUUAGUUGGUUUGGUUUACGGUGUGGGCAAGUUUUUUAAAGUUACUUUAUUUACCUAGGUGCUCUGCAAACAUGUGGUGGUGUAGGGUUUAAUUAUGGUGCACGGUACAUAUCCAAAUGACAUUCCAGAAAAAGUCCGUUCACCCACUUAGAACUCCGUUUUUGGAAGAGACCUUAUCUACGAACCCAUAUGAUGUUUAUAACCAUGUUAGAUGACUAUGCUCGUAAGUGUGAUCAUCACACGCACAGUGAACCAACUUAUGUCUUCCUGUUAUAAACGUGAAUAUGUAGACGAUGUUGGAUGUCGAAAGAGAUCUGCUCUCCGAAAAACAAUUUUUUUUACCUCCUCCUGGGGACCGGAACGUAGACCUGCUAUGUACAUCGAUAAAAUAAUUAAUAAGUGUGUAUUGGAAUAUUUCAGUAUGUUUUCAUUCUGAUUUCGGUGGUAGAUCCGUUGUAGACAGCGAUGAGGAUAGGUCAACUAUAUCCCUACAACUAUCAGACCCGGAUUAUGGUUUGUCUGGAACGUCGAUUUGGAUUGUAGAUUCUGGAUUCUAGGGUUGGUUCUGCGGACAGUCCAUACCCCGUGGGUAAUCAGGCCGCGUGAGGAGUUGGUCCUGCGGACAGCCCAUACUCCGGCGGCGUCGGUGGACGGUGGUUAGGUAAAAGUCACUACAUGACAACGUACAUGGAACGGGCCAGAUCGACGGUGGCUGCGGUGGUGCUGCGAUCUGUUGCGGUGGUAGUACGCGAGUAGGUAGUAGUGUGCGGGUGGCCGCUCUGGGGCGACGAGGUACGGCAUCUCUGGGCGGCAGCAGCUGCGCUCUCUUCCGUGCGGUGUGGUGGAGUGCGGAGAAGGUAGGCCGCGGCGAGGUGUUUGCUACGGGGGUUAUCUCUUGUGCUGUGGCGUUGCGGCGGUAGUAGGCUAGGCCUCUAGGAUCCUAAAGAGGGCCUCGCCGUGUCCGUCCAACUGCUAUUAACGAACUGCUACGGAAGUAGUUCCAUUGCUGCAGCUGCGGCGGUAACGGGCGGUACUGGCCUCAGGCGAACUAAAAGUGGCCGCUGAUACAGAGGGGUUGAGCGGCGGCGACGAUUAUCACCCUAGGUUCUAAGCAAUGAUGGUCAGACCGGUUGGCGGAAGCCACCUCUUCCGUCGGUGGUGGUGGUACGGACCCGGUUCUCUGGGCCUGCAAGAGCACGACGCUUCUAAUGGGUCCCCCUAGAGGAGAACGGCAACAGCUCUGCUCCGCGUCGGCAUCACCUAGAGCUGGAUUUGGGGAGCCCGGGUCUAGUCUAGAGUAGGGUCGGUUUUAGAGUAGGCGGUUUGCCAGCGGCCUCUAGAGAACCGGUGGCGGUUGGGCUACACGUGACGGCAACCUCCUCCUCCCUCUACCUUGCGGCGACGGGGGUGCGCAAUGGUGGCCGGCUCCUAACGCGGCGGCAGCGGCGGAGUGGUGUUCCCGAAGCGGGGCGCGUCAGUAGUCGCUGUCGCCGCCGCCACCCUCCGCUGCCUCCCCCUCCCGACUCCCGCCACACCUGCCCCUGAGGGGCCCCCGCCGCGUCGCGGCGGUGGAGCCCCCUCUCUCCAGCCCCCAGCCCCCUCUCGCCAGGGACUCUUACGUCUUACCUACCUUGCGGCCUGUUCUCCGAUGUCCACUUAGUAGCGCCGACCCCUUCCGGUCUGUCCCCUCUACCGCGGAGUAGACUCUGCGAAGCAGUGACGGCGCCUUGCAGCGGUCAAGCAUUACCGAAACACCACCGGAAGUCCCCGAAUCAGCGGCAGAUACCACCGGUAACAGUGGCGAUGAACAUCCUGAAGGACCCUUAGCAGGCCCAGUACCAACCGUACAUCCUCAGGGGGCCAACCCUAAACUAAGCCUUCGGCUACGUUCCCUAAACCGUUCCUGCCAAACCCCUUCCUGCGUGCUGAACUCCAGAACCCAACCCCUAGAACCUAGUUCCAGU